Molecule: long non-coding RNA, 973 nt
Organism: Anthonomus grandis grandis
Lineage: Eukaryota; Metazoa; Arthropoda; Insecta; Coleoptera; Curculionidae
Exons: 2
Source: RefSeq, a predicted model, not a curated record
GAUUAAGAAUUAAAAAUGGUUUAAUUUAAGCUAAUUUUCAUUAAAAUCGGUUAAUAAUUAACCGAGUUAUGGCCGUUUUUGUCCAGGAUGCCAGUAAACUUCCUUAUUCACUCCAGAAUAUAUUAAACGUGCGUUAACUCAAAAAUCGCCUAAUUACCUUUUAGAUUAAGAAUUUAAAAAUGCUUCUUCUAACCUAACUUUCAUUAAAAUCAACUAAUAAUCAACCCAGCUGCGUCCGCUUUUGUAGCUCCCAAACAGUGCAACCGGGAAAAGUGAAACAUCCCAAUUUAUCCCGAAAAAAAUCCUAACUAAAUCGGUCAAACGUCCAGAUAUAAACGAUUUAUAUUCCUCGGACGUGUGGAAGAGAGACACUGUGCAAUGCCAUUAAUUUUUUUUCUUCCUUUGUCGUCACGUGUGAUUUGAACCCUAAGGACAUCCAGGAAAGGAAACUUUGCCCCUCUCUCUCUCUCUUUUUGGUGAUUAAGUAUUUAUAUAGCGUGUCAUCCCUUAGGACCCCGGGGGAUGAUGGAUGGGCCUAAAAGGGUGGCCAACGCCGAUUUACUACUGAGGGAUUUAGUCAAAGAUCCUCCCGUUUUUUUUUUUGGAAUUGGGGACUACCUCGACUUACCUUCUCACCACUGUCCGAGGGUAAGUAGAAGGUAAGCACGGUUAGAAAAGAGAUGCCCAUGCACGGAAUGAUGAUGUUGACGGUGUAAAAGAGGGUUUUCCUUCGCAUGGUUAUGUUGAACGUGAUGUCCAGGUACUUCCAAAAUAUCCCAUUCGACUGACAUGUAAAACUCCGAUAGGUCCACCCCGACGUCCACGAUGUUGCUGCCCGCUUUUUCGUCCAUGUGACGCAGAUCGACCUAAAAUUUAAAUUAUUUAUUUAUUUUAUAUAUAAAUCUAUUGCGAGUUGUCUAAAUUUAUCAUAUAGCAGUCACAAUAUAAAUUUAUUUAUAUAUAUAAUUAUGUA